GAUGAACGCUGGCGGCGUGCCUAAUACAUGCAAGUCGAGCGAACAGACGAGGAGCUUGCUCCUCUGACGUUAGCGGCGGACGGGUGAGUAACACGUGGAUAACCUACCUAUAAGACUGGGAUAACUUCGGGAAACCGGAGCUAAUACCGGAUAAUAUAUUGAACCGCAUGGUUCAAUAGUGAAAGACGGUUUUGCUGUCACUUAUAGAUGGAUCCGCGCCGCAUUAGCUAGUUGGUAAGGUAACGGCUUACCAAGGCAACGAUGCGUAGCCGACCUGAGAGGGUGAUAGGCCACACAAGAACUGAGAGACGAUCCAGACGCCAACGGGAGGCAGCAGUAGGGAAUCUUCCGCAAUGGGCGAAAGCCUGACGGAACAACGCCGCGUGAGUGAUGAAGAUCUUCGGAUAGUAAAACUCUGUUAUUAGGGAAGAACAAAUGUGUAAGUAACUAUGAACGUCUUGACGGUACCUAAUCAGAAAGCCACGGCUAACUACGUG
This 497-nucleotide ribosomal RNA is filed under the name uncultured bacterium. RNAcentral's name for it is "partial 16S ribosomal RNA". It matches the Rfam family "Bacterial small subunit ribosomal RNA", at positions 28 to 507 of the family's 1533-position model. The record is from RNAcentral.